This 672-nucleotide ribosomal RNA is filed under the name uncultured Bacilli bacterium. RNAcentral describes it as "bacterial SSU rRNA". It matches the Rfam family "Bacterial small subunit ribosomal RNA", at positions 70 to 726 of the family's 1533-position model. Lineage: Bacteria; Bacillati; Bacillota; Bacilli. The record is from RNAcentral.
AAUGCUUGCAUUCACCGUAAGAAGUUGAGUGGCGGACGGGUGAGUAACACGUGGGUAACCUGCCUAAAAGAAGGGGAUAACACUUGGAGACAGGUGCUAAUACCGUAUAUCUCUAAGGAUCGCAUGAUUCUUAGAUGAAAGAUGGUUCUGCUAUCGCUUUUAGAUGGACCCGCGGCGUAUUAACUAGUUGGUGGGGUAACGGCCUACCAAGGUGAUGAUACGUAGCCGAACUGAGAGGUUGAUCGGCCACAUUGGGACUGAGACACGGCCCAAACUCCUACGGGAGGCAGCAGUAGGGAAUCUUCCACAAUGGACGCAAGUCUGAUGGAGCAACGCCGCGUGAGUGAAGAAGGUCUCCGGAUCGUAAAACUCUGUUGUUAGAGAAGAACACGAGUGAGAGUAACUGUUCAUUCGAUGACGGUAUCUAACCAGCAAGUCACGGCUAACUACGUGCCAGCAGCCGCGGUAAUACGUAGGCGGCAAGCGUUGUCCGGAUUUAUUGGGCGUAAAGGGAACGCAGGCGGUCUUUUAAGUCUGAUGUGAAAGCCUUCGGCUUAACCGGAGUAGUGCAUUGGAAACUGGAAGACUUGAGUGCAGAAGAGGAGAGUGGAACUCCAUGUGUAGCGGUGAAAUGCGUAGAUAUAUGGAAGAACACCAGUGGCGAAAGCGGCU